Molecule: unclassified non-coding RNA, 684 nt
Filed under: uncultured Prochlorococcus sp.
Lineage: Bacteria; Bacillati; Cyanobacteriota; Cyanophyceae; Synechococcales; Prochlorococcaceae
Description: partial may contain 16S ribosomal RNA, 16S-23S ribosomal RNA intergenic spacer, and 23S ribosomal RNA
Rfam family: Bacterial small subunit ribosomal RNA (bases 1-96)
Source: RNAcentral
CCCUUGUGGAGGAGGACGCCGAAGGUGGGGCUAAUGACUGGGGUGAAGUCGUAACAAGGUAGCCGUACCGGAAGGUGCGGCUGGAUCACCUCCUAACAGGGAGACAACAAAAUGUUUAAUAUUAUUAUUUUGUCACCUUAGGUCGAUCGGUAUCUCACAUUCUUAAUUUAUUAAGGAUUUCAUUUCCUAAGUUUUUCUAGGUCACACCCAUUAUUUUUCCUGGGCCAUUAGCUCAGGUGGUUAGAGCGCACCCCUGAUAAGGGUGAGGUCCCUGGUUCAAGUCCAGGAUGGCCCAUAUCUCUAUGUUGGGGGUAUAGCUCAGUUGGUAGAGCGCCUGCUUUGCAAGCAGGAUGUCAGCGGUUCGAGUCCGCUUACCUCCACUGAUUACCACCUCUUCCAUAAUUUUAAGAAAGGAAAAGUUUUGCUUUGUGAUCAAAUCUGAACGAAUCUAGCUUCCUAAUGGAAUCAUUAAGAUGCUGGACUCAUUGAAUUAAUUUCAUUGUUUUCAGAGAACCUUGACAACUGCAUAGAUUAUUUUUAAAGACAAUAAGCAUCUUUGUGAUGCAGAUUUAUUAUUUGUGCGAAUGCAUUAAUAACAAUUCUAUUAAGCUGAUGCUUCAAUUAUUGAAGUUAUUGGUCAAGCUACAAAGGGCUCACGGAGGAUACCUAGGCACACAGAGGCGA